Molecule: ribosomal RNA, 239 nt
Filed under: uncultured bacterium
Lineage: Bacteria
Description: partial 16S ribosomal RNA
Rfam family: Bacterial small subunit ribosomal RNA
Source: RNAcentral
UACGUAGGGGGCAAGCGUUGUCCGGAAUCAUUGGGCGUAAAGCGCGUGUAGGCGGUCCGGUAAGUCCGCUGUGAAAGUCGGGGGCUCAACCCUCGGAUGCCGGUGGAUACUGUCGGGCUUGAGUACGGAAGAGGCGAGUGGAAUUCCUGGUGUAGCGGUGAAAUGCGCAGAUAUCAGGAGGAACACCAAUUGCGAAGGCAGCUCGCUGGGACGUUACUGACGCUGAGACGCGAAAGCGU